RNAcentral lists this ribosomal RNA (467 nucleotides) under uncultured bacterium. RNAcentral's name for it is "partial 16S ribosomal RNA". It matches the Rfam family "Bacterial small subunit ribosomal RNA", at positions 28 to 506 of the family's 1533-position model. The record is from RNAcentral.
GACGAACGCUGGCGGCGUGCUUAACACAUGCAAGUCGAACGGAAAGGCCCUGCUUUUGUGGGGUGCUCGAGUGGCGAACGGGUGAGUAACACGUGAGUAACCUGCCCUUGACUUUGGGAUAACUUCAGGAAACUGGGGCUAAUACCGGAUAGGAGCUCCUGCUGCAUGGUGGGGGUUGGAAAGUUUCGGCGGUUGGGGAUGGACUCGCGGCUUAUCAGCUUGUUGGUGGGGUAGUGGCUUACCAAGGCUUUGACGGGUAGCCGGCCUGAGGGGGUGACCGGCCACAUUGGGACUGAGAUACGGCCCAGACUCCUACGGGAGGCAGCAGGGGGGAAUAUUGCACAAUGGGCGGAAGCCUGAUGCAGCAACGCCGCGUGCGGGAUGACGGCCUUCGGGUUGUAAACCGCUUUCGCCUGUGACGAAGCGUGAGUGACGGUAAUGGGGAAAGAAGCACCGGCUAACUACGU